UAUUGCUGCAUCAACAAACUCUUUUAUCCUAAGAUGUUUCUCUUUUCAUCAAUUCAAAGUUCAAUAUUUGUGAUAUCAAAAGUUGGACAUGAGGAGUAUCAGUAAUGUUCUUUAAGAUUCUCUCUUACUUUGACCUUCAUAGAGAAACUUUGUAUACGAAGACUUUGUUGGCAUGGUUAUAUCAAGUCUCCUAGAAUCGUCCAUAUGAAUCGUAGGCUUUUUUAUCUUUUUUUUUGUCAGGGUAUGGGAGGGGUUUGAGAGAUGGCAAUUAUUAAGGGUGAGAAACUUGUGACAGUCUACAUGUUCAUUGUUUUGAGAAAAUUUUGUCUUGGUUCAUAUAGAGC
RNAcentral lists this long non-coding RNA (344 nucleotides) under Phoenix dactylifera (date palm). RNAcentral describes it as "long non-coding RNA (PDAC_LNC002269)". Lineage: Eukaryota; Viridiplantae; Streptophyta; Magnoliopsida; Arecales; Arecaceae. The record is from RNAcentral.